Molecule: ribosomal RNA, 239 nt
Filed under: uncultured bacterium
Lineage: Bacteria
Description: partial 16S ribosomal RNA
Rfam family: Bacterial small subunit ribosomal RNA
Source: RNAcentral
CUUAUUUGGUGGCGAGCGGCGGACGGCUGAGUAACGCGUGGGAACAUGCCCCAAAGUGAGGAAUAACUGCCCGAAAGGGUAGCUAAUACCGCAUAUGAUCUUCGGAUUAAAGGAUUUAUCCGCUUUGGGAGGGGCCUGCGUCCGACUAGCUCGUUGGCGGGGUAACGGCCCACCAAGGCGAAGAUCGGUAGCCGGCCUGAGAGGGCGCACGGCCACACUGGAACUGAAACACGGUCCAG